AUUGAACGCUGGCGGCAUGCCUUACACACGCAAGUCGAACGGUAACGCGGGGCAACCUGGCGACGAGUGGCGAACGGGUGAGUAAUACAUCGGAACGUGCCCAGUAGUGGGGGAUAGCCCGGCGAAAGCCGGAUUAAUACCGCAUACGACCUAAGGGUGAAAGCAGGGGACCGCAAGGCCUUGCGCUAUUGGAGCGGCCGAUGUCAGAUUAGCUAGUUGGUGGGGUAAAAGCCUACCUAGGCGACGAUCUGUAGCUGGUCUGAGAGGACGACCAGCCACACUGGGACUGAGACACGGCCCAGACUCCUACGGGAGGCAGCAGUGGGGAAUUUUGGACAAUGGGCGCAAGCCUGAUCCAGCCAUGCCGCGUGCGGGAAGAAGGCCUUCGGGUUGUAAACCGCUUUUGUCAGGGAAGAAACGGUCUGGGCUAAUACCCUGGGCUAAUGACGGUACCUGAAGAAUAAGCACCGGCUAACUACGUG
RNAcentral lists this ribosomal RNA (482 nucleotides) under uncultured bacterium. RNAcentral's name for it is "bacterial SSU rRNA". It matches the Rfam family "Bacterial small subunit ribosomal RNA", at positions 29 to 507 of the family's 1533-position model. The record is from RNAcentral.